This 405-nucleotide ribosomal RNA is filed under the name uncultured bacterium. RNAcentral's name for it is "bacterial SSU rRNA". It matches the Rfam family "Bacterial small subunit ribosomal RNA", at positions 28 to 433 of the family's 1533-position model. The record is from RNAcentral.
GAUGAACGCUAGCGGCAGGCCUAACACAUGCAAGUCGAGGGGCAGCACGUCUUCGGAUGGUGGCGACCGGCGCACGGGUGCGUAACGCGUAUGCAACCUACCUCUUACAGUGGGAUAGCCCAGAGAAAUUUGGAUUAAUACCGCAUAGUAUACAGAUUCAGCAUUGGGACUGUAUUAAACAUUUAUGGGUAAGAGAUGGGCAUGCGUUCUAUUAGUUAGUUGGAGUGGUAACGGCACCCCAAGACAGCGAUAGAUAGGGCCCGUGAGAGGGGAGUCCCCCACACUGGUACUGAGACACGGACCGAGACUCCUACGGGAGGCAGCAGUGAGGAAUAUUGGACAAUGGGCGAGAGCCUGAUCCAGCACUGCCGCGUGCAGAAGACGCCCGUAUGGGUUGUAAACUGC